RNAcentral lists this long non-coding RNA (754 nucleotides) under Phasianus colchicus (ring-necked pheasant). RNAcentral describes it as "lncRNA (ENSPCLG00000018916.1)". The record is from RNAcentral. Lineage: Eukaryota; Metazoa; Chordata; Aves; Galliformes; Phasianidae.
GAACUCAGGAUGUCCCAAAGGUCCUCAAGACGUCCCCAUCGAACUCAGGAUGUCCCCUGUGCUCCUCAAGAUGUCCUCGUGGUCCCCAAGAUGUCCCCAAGGUCAUCAGGACGUCCUCAUGGUCCUCAGGAUGUCAUCAUGGUCCUCAAGAUGUCCCCAUGGAAAUCAGGACAUCCCCUGUGCUCCUCAAGAUGUCAUCAUGGUCCUCAAGAUGUCCCCAAGGUCAUCAGGACGUCCCUGUGCUCCUCAAGAUGUCCCCAAGGUCAUCAGGAUGUCCUCGUGCUCCUCAAGAUGUCCCCAUGGAACUCAGGAUGUCCCCUGUGGUCCUCAGGAUGUCCCCAAGUUCAUCGGGACGUCCCUGUGCUCCUCAAGAUGUCCUCGUGCUCCUCAAGAUGUCCUCAUUGUCCCCAUGGAUGUCCCCAUGGUCUUCAGGAUGUUCCCGUGGUCCCCAAGAUGUCCCCAAGGCCACCAGGACGUCUCCAUGGUCUCCAAGAUGUCCCCAAGUUCUUCAGAAUGUACCCAAGGCCACCAGGAUGUCCUCAGAUGUCACCAAGUUCUCCAGGACGUCCCCAAGAUGUCCCCAAGGCCACCAGGACGUCCCCAUGGUCCCCAAGAUGUCCCCAAGUUCUCCAGGACAUCCCCAAGAUGUCCCCAAGCUCUCGGGGACACCCCCCGAGGUUUUUAAUUGUUUAAUUGCGUUUUUCUGAACGGUGCAAUUAAUAAAUGGCAACGAUUUAUCGAUAUUUUUCUUAAU